AAAGAGACAAAAAGACAAAAAAAGAAAAGAAAAGAAAAACAUAAAUGUUACCUUAAUUAUACUAGACUGAUUUUUAAUUUUAGCCAGAGGACUUUGAGAGAUUCUUAUUAUCUUCCAUUUUAAUUCUAAUUUUUUAUUUUAAGUGAUUUUUAUUUUUUCUAUUAGAGCUGGUUUACAGUGUUCUGUCAGUUUUCUACUGUACAGUGAGGUGACCUAGUCAAACAUACAUAUAUACAUUCUUUUUCUCACAUUACCCUCUACCAUGCUCCAUCAAUGGAAUACUAUUCAGCUAUAAAAAAAGAACAAAGUAAUGUCACUUGAAGCAACAGGGAUGGAACUAGAGACUCUUAUACUAAGUGAAAUAAGUCAGAAAGAGAAAGACAAAUACCAUAUGGUAUCACUUAUGUCUAGAAUCUAAUAUAUGGUAAAAUGAACCUUUCCACAGAAAAGAAAAGCAUGGACUUGGAGAACAGACUUGUAGUAUCUUCCAUUUUUAAAACUACAUUGGAAAUGAUGCUUAAUUUUUAUUAUUAGUGUAUACGUUGGAAAUAAAUAACAUAUCUUUGGCGUAUGUGCUUUAAAUUGGCCGCAGUAAUGCCUUUGCUGGUGUGUUAUUUCCCGAAAGAGACCCCCUUUUUACAAAAUUCAUUCAUUCAGUCAAACAUCAUCUUGAGGGCUUUUCUAGCUGUCCCAGGUGGAAGGUAACCUACAUGAAGGCCACUCCCUCUCUGCUGUCAAGAAACAUCAGACUCAGAGUCUCCUUGUGGCUCAGUGGAUUAAGAACUCGCGUUACCGCUGCUGUGGUUCAGGUGACUGUUGUGUGUGGGUUCGAUCCCUGGCCUGGGAACAUCUACAUGCUGUAGGCGCGCCACCACCCCCCAAAAAAAAUCAAUCUGGUUUUUUUUCCAUUCAUACGUAAUCAUGGAAUGAGCUGCAAGAGGGCUCCGUUGGGUUCUGGAGAAGUGCAAAGGAAGGAUGCUAAAUGCAUGGGUCCUGGGGGAGGAUGGGAGCCCUCUGGGAAAAGUCAUCUUUGGAGCUGAAAGAAGCUGUUCUCUUUUGGAUGACCAACCUCAGAUUUAGAAGGAAAGACAACCUAAGUACAUCUUCUUAUCCAUGUAGGCAGUUGGUGCCUCUUAAUUAGUCUACCACAAUUAAGAGUUUUGAAAUGAAUUUAAAAGAUAAACUAGCUAUUUGGGGCGGUAGGGUCUUUAGGUUUCUUUGUGAGGGAGUUCUUUUCAUCGUUAACGUUUCCCUUUCUUUGCGUUUAUUUGGGUUUACUAAAGGGUUCUCCCAUACUGGAAUUUCUGACUGUGUAGCUAGUUGGUGGCCCAAACCCUCAUUGCUCAAGGAUCAACUGUAAAACGAUCUUAAUGUUCUUAGUAAUUAUUUUUACUACUAAAAUAAUUCAUACUUAAUAAUAAUAAGUGGUGGUUACUAUGCAUAUUACCCCCAAAUAUCUAAGGCAACAGUUUAAAUGAAUAUGAAGGAAAAUAAAUACUUAGAAGUAUGUCAUCAAAGUUUUUUUCUUCUCAUUAAAAAUCGUCAUAUAUUUUGGAUUAAUUAUAGAGUAAAACAAAGCUUAAAACAUAUACCAUAUUUUUAUUUAAAAAUGAAUAUUUUGUUGACUUAAAUACAGGCGGCGUUGCAUUAAUUGGAGUUUUGAGAACUUUUAGAAAAUAGGAAUGGUGCAAUUAUAUUUUAUAUAAGAAUAACAUUUUUAUUUUCCACAAUCAUAGUGAUCUGAUUUGGGGUUAUUAUUUCAAAUAAUAGCAACUCUGGAGUUCCUGCUGUGGCACAAUGGGUCAAGGAUCUGGCAUUGCUCUAGCUGUAGCUUAGAACUUCCAUAUGCCGUGGGUAUAUGGAAAAACAAAACAAAACUAAAACGCCCGUACAAGCCUAAGAGUUUAACACAUCUUUUGUGUUUUCAUCAAGUACCGUUUAUCAGGAUCCCAUCUGGGCUUUGUUUCUAGGAAAAAUAAAACAAGAAACAACCUCAUCACAGUGCUACAUUCAGAGUUCAAGAGAGAUUAUAAGUAGAAACCCAUAUUUGUCUGAGGAUCUGGAAUUUGUGUCUUAACUAAACUUGAUGAGGCCAGAGUGACAUUUUGUGGCCUUUCUGUCCUUAAUCCUGAGGUUCUGCGUUGCUGGGAUGGGGAGAAAUGAAGCUUAUGGAAGAUGAUCUAGCAUCCACAUCGUAGUUGCCAGGCAGUCUUACCUUGUACCCAUGGGCAAGUUAUUUCACCUUCUGAGCCCUUAAUUAUUAAUCUUGGAACAUAAGAGUAUGAUAGGUGUGAAAACAGAUAUGAAAGAAAAAGGCAAAAACUGACCCUUGAAGUGCAUGGGAAGACUGGCAAAAACUACUGAAUUAUGUCCCAGUAUCAAACCAUGGAGGAGUUCCCGUUGUGGUGCGGCGGAAAUGAAUCUGACUAGUAUCACAUGCGAUCCCUGGCCGUGCUCAGUAGAUCAGUGAUCUGGUGUUGCCGCAAGCUGUAGUGUAGGUCACAGACUUGGCUCGGAUCCCUAGGAACCUCCAUAUACUGUGAGUGCAGCCCUAAAAAGCAAAAAACAAAACAAAACAAAACCCACCAAACAAACAAAAAACAUGUGGAAAAACUCUCCUCUCUGGCUGGCUGCAGCUGGGUCGAAUUUUGAAUGUAAGGGGUGAUGAAAUAAUCGAAUGAUGGAACAAGCUAGAUGAGAUUAACACAGGAAAGCUUCCUAUGCGGGGCUCCGAGGGAGGGGAAUCUAUACACCAUCCGUCAGCCAAGAUAGUAUUGAUUUUGUAAGAUCCAGAGUUCACAAAUUACUUAGCGUACCCCAGGCAGAAGGGUGUGUGUGUGUGUGUGUGUGUGUGUGUGUGUGUUGUCAUGGCGGAGAAACGAUUAACUCUUAGAGUUGCCCUAAUCAGGGUUCAGGUGGUGAUGACAUAGCUUGCACUUCCUUAGAUACAGACCUGCACUAAUUUCGAUGUGCUUCCUUUCCAUGGCAUAGGAGCAGGGACUUCAAUGCCAGACCCCCUGAGUCUGAUGCCUAGUCCUGCUGUUUUUGUCAGGGACUCUGUCAGAGCUACUUAAGUGCCGUAUUCCUGGGUUUUCCCUCCAUAAAAUGAGGAUGAUACGGGUACCAACCUCAAAGACUCUAGCGGAGCUUCAGUAGGUCAGUGGAUGCAUGUCAAUAAUUUAGAAUGCUCUGGAACUCAAUACAUGAUAAGCAUGAGCAGUAAUGGUCAUGGUAUAAUCCAUCAUGUAACUUAUUCAAGCACUUUCCAGAGCUCCCCUCGUGGCUCAGUGGGUUAAGGACCCGACGUAGUGUCCAUGAGGAUGCGGGUGCGAUCGCUGGUCUCUUUCAGUGGGUUAAGGAUCUGAUGUUGCCACAAGCUGCGGCCUAAGUCACAGAUGUAGCUCAGAUCCUGCAUUGUUGUGGCUAUGGCAUAGGCCUGCAGCUGCAGCUCCAAUUCGACCCUGAGCCUGGGAACUUCCAUAUUCCAGGUGUGCCUUUAAAAUAGAAUUAAAAAAAAAAAAAAA
RNAcentral lists this long non-coding RNA (3524 nucleotides) under Sus scrofa (pig). Its description in RNAcentral is "lncRNA (ENSSSCG00050003408.1)". Lineage: Eukaryota; Metazoa; Chordata; Mammalia; Artiodactyla; Suidae. The record is from RNAcentral.